Molecule: ribosomal RNA, 266 nt
Filed under: Rhodococcus qingshengii
Lineage: Bacteria; Bacillati; Actinomycetota; Actinomycetes; Mycobacteriales; Nocardiaceae
Description: partial 16S ribosomal RNA
Rfam family: Bacterial small subunit ribosomal RNA
Source: RNAcentral
AGCUGGUCUCAGUUCGGAUCGGGGUCUGCAACUCGACCCCGUGAAGUCGGAGUCGCUAGUAAUCGCAGAUCAGCAACGCUGCGGUGAAUACGUUCCCGGGCCUUGUACACACCGCCCGUCACGUCAUGAAAGUCGGUAACACCCGAAGCCGGUGGCUUAACCCCUUGUGGGAGGGAGCCGUCGAAGGUGGGAUCGGCGAUUGGGACGAAGUCGUAACAAGGUAGCCGUACCGGAAGGUGCGGCUGGAUCACCUCCUUUCUAAGGAG